UUGGGGUUGGGAGGGACCUGCAAGUCUUUCCUGAGGGCAGAGCCGGACCCUAAACCACGGGAAAGAUGGUAGGUAGAGUGUGGCGGAAGGGCAGGGCUGGAGCAGGCCAGGGCUCCUGGGAAUGGGGUUCCGAGUGGCCUUGCCAGCCAGGUGCAGGCUUGGGUGAGAGCAGGAGGGCAUAGGUGGGGGAGUGGUGUGCGUAUGAGGGGGGGCAGGGUGUCCCCAGGCCAGGCUCCCAGUGAGUCACUGCUGACCCGUCGUCCCGGCGCCGCGGGGGCCCAGGCUGGGCUGGCCGCAGGAAGCUGAUAAAGGGCCAGAGUCAAAAGCCUCCAGGCCUCCCACUUCCUGCAGCCCCAGGAGCAGGGUGUGGCGCUUGGGGGGUUGGGGGGCGGGUCCUGGCGGGCAUCUGUCGAUGCAGGCUCAGGUGUCCAUGGCCUGGCUGGAGGGCCCACAAAACAACACAAAUUGUGACCUAUGACUGCCUGGCUCUGCCUUCAGAGGAUGUGAUCGGGGACGUCGUGGUGGGCACAGGCAGCCUCCGGCAGCCAUGGGCAGGAAGGCCAGCGGCAGCUUGAAGGUGUCGGAUCAAGGGGCAGAGGGGAAGUGGUGGCCAGGGCAAGGACACGGCCAGGGCCAGGACGGGGGCAGGCAGGCCAAGCGGGCGCACGUUUACCUGCGGGCCACUCUGUCACCUGAAGGUCAGGUGUGUGUCCACCUGUCCAGCCACAGAGGGGUCAUGGAGAUGGGGUGCUCCCGGGAGGCAGGAGGGGCAGGAGGUCAGCUGGCAGGGGCGCUGAGGCACCCAAGUUGCGUGGGCGACCCCAUGGAGCCACUCCUAGUGACAGCAGCGCCUCUGCCACGCCUGUGGUGACGACCCGCCAGCCCACAGGUAAGGAUGUCACCAUGAGCAAGAGCGACCUCGCCCCACGCCACCUACGCUGGUCCUGCUUCCUCAGGGCCACAUCCCAGCACCACCAUCACCACGGUCACCCCACCGACCCAACCUCUGGGGCCUUGGCAGCGUCACCACGCUCGCGCUCUCCCUGCCAAGGAUGGGAGCCAACGGCCCCCUCCGCCAAAGCCACAGCCACCGUCGCGGCCAGGCGUCCCACCCAAACAAGGCCACGGAAGCACAGCGAAGCGCCGACGCGCCCCAGCGCCAGGACUUCUGACGCCUUUUGGGUAAAACAUACCAAGCAUAAAAUGGACUGUUAUAACCAUUCUAAAAUACAAGCAUCACAAAGGACAAAGAGGAAUAUCAAUAAGUGUGACAUGACUCUCAGAUCAGAGAACAGAACACAUAUGCAACUAAAAACAUAGCUUCAGAAAACAAAAAGCCACAGAUGACAAGCGACCUGCUCCAACUCCUCUCUGCACACAGACAGCUCGAGCAGCCACAAGCAAAGAUGUGAACAAUUUGGAUAAUGCAAUAAACUGAGGCACACUCUUUUCUAGUACAAAUGGGACACUCUCCACAGCAACACGUUUUGGGUCCCAAAAGAGGCCUCAGGACACCUUCGGAAGUAGAAGCAGCCACACGGGAGGCAGGCAGACAAGGAGGCGACGACCUGCCUGCCCACUGCCCCUAGUGCUGCAGAAAGUGGUUCCAACCUAGAAUUCCAGACCCAGCCAAGCCAUCAUCGGAGUAUGAGAUGGAAUAAAAAACAUUCUGAGACAUGCGAGGUGUCACGCUAUCUGCCACGUGUUCUCUCAAAGACCUGCUCCAGGAAGACAAGCGUGCAAACCAAGAAAGAGAGAAGCCCAGCAUGCAGACCCCAGUGUCUCACACAGGAGCCCCAGGAAGGGAGCCCCAGGGCUGUGGGGGGAGAGGUCUGCGGGACAGCUGUGCCUUGUGAGGGUCGGCCAUCCGGACUGGGCAGCUGAGGACACGGCUUCCCCCAGGAGCAGCGGCUCUGACACGUGCCUGACCUACGCCAGAGAGUGCGCAGAGGACCCUGGUGGGUCAGAAGCAGACACGCGGGGCAGCCCAUCCUCCUAGCUCUGCCUUUUGCCCUGCCCGGGCCGUGGGCGCCUGGGCGUCCAGAGAUCAUCUGCGUCCCUGCCCGCCGACUGGGAGGCCAAGGCUCUGCGGUGUCUCUCCUCCUGGGGGGCCUUCAGCUGAGCCACUUGUCAAAACAGGGAGAACGUAGGCCGGGGACAUACACCAAGUGCUAAAAGCCAGGGGACAGGACACGAUGUCUGGAGGAAGUUGCUUUGCUGGGACAGUCCCCCCAGCGGCUUCCAGGGAACCAAAAAUGUGCUAUUUCGUA
Herpailurus yagouaroundi (jaguarundi) is the source of this 2270-nucleotide long non-coding RNA. RefSeq lists it as uncharacterized. NCBI's taxonomy places the organism in Eukaryota, Metazoa, Chordata, Mammalia, Carnivora, Felidae. The record is from RefSeq and is a predicted model, not a curated record. The transcript has 2 exons.